RNAcentral lists this ribosomal RNA (445 nucleotides) under uncultured archaeon. Its description in RNAcentral is "bacterial SSU rRNA". It matches the Rfam family "Bacterial small subunit ribosomal RNA", at positions 506 to 950 of the family's 1533-position model. The record is from RNAcentral.
UGACUACAGCCGCGGUAAUACGAAGGGUGCUAGCGUUGUUCGGAAUUAUUGGGCGUAAAGCGUGCGUAGGCGGCUUGAUAAGUCAGUUGUGAAAGCCCAGGGCUUAACCUUGGAAUUGCAGCUGAAACUAUCAGGCUAGAGUAUGAAGAGGGAUAGUGGAAUUCCUAGUGUAGGGGUGAAAUCCGUAGAUAUUAGGAGGAACACCGGUGGCGAAAGCGACUAUCUAUGUCAUUACUGACGCUGUUGCACGAAAGCGUGGGGAGCAAACAGGAUUAGAUACCCUGGUAGUCCACGCAGUAAACGAUGAGUGCUAGUUAUCGGGUCUUUGGGAUUCGGUGGCGAAGCUAACGCGUUAAGCACUCCGCCUGGGGAGUACGGCCGCAAAGGCUAACACUCACAGGAAUUGACGGGGACCCGAACAAAGCAGUGGAGCAUGUGGUUAAAU